Non-coding RNA from Lonchura striata (white-rumped munia), 461 nucleotides. NCBI's taxonomy places the organism in Eukaryota, Metazoa, Chordata, Aves, Passeriformes, Estrildidae. The record is from RefSeq and is a predicted model, not a curated record.
AAGCCAGGUGCCAGCCAGAAGAGUGACAAAGUGUUGGGACUCCUCUGCAAACAUGGCUACGGAGAAGUCACCCUUAGCGUCCUGCAGUGAGGAGGAGAAGGACAGCAUCUGUGACAGGCAGCUCACAGUUCUUGAUUGCCAAAAUCAGUAACGAUGACGCACAUCUGGACAGAGUAUGUGCUUCUGCCCUGGGAGGAAACCCUGCUCGCCCUGCUUGCUCUCAGCCUGCUAGUAUCAUUUACGGGUUGUGAUGUAAAGCAGAGGAAAUGGGGAGUGUGAAUACCAAUCUCACCCUGAAAAGGAUCUGGUUUCCUCAGGAGCAGACCUUCCAGGCCUGGUGGGUGCAUUGCUUUUCUGUGAGAUCAUGACAGAUCUGUGAUGCUGUGGACAUGCUGUGGAAACACAACAGCCUUCCUCAAAUAAAAUGCAGAAGGAAAAAGAAAAUAAAAAGGAUGAAAUUU